RNAcentral lists this long non-coding RNA (216 nucleotides) under Prunus persica (peach). RNAcentral's name for it is "long non-coding RNA (PPER_LNC005080)". Lineage: Eukaryota; Viridiplantae; Streptophyta; Magnoliopsida; Rosales; Rosaceae. The record is from RNAcentral.
GACAUGAUUAUUACUGGGAAUGAUAAACAUGAAAUAUCUCAACUACAAGAAUAUUCGCUUAAGAUUCCUUCGUAUUCUUCGCUUCUCUUUCUCCCUACAAAACAAAUCGGAGUAAAAGAACCAUACCUAGGGGGUGUUGGCCAAAGGCCCUCCGAUGCCUAAGUUAGGAUGGGUUUUGUAGGAAAAUCGGGUGGCCAGAGCCGUGUGUGGUGGCCG